Molecule: small RNA, 120 nt
Organism: Citrobacter rodentium ICC168
Lineage: Bacteria; Pseudomonadati; Pseudomonadota; Gammaproteobacteria; Enterobacterales; Enterobacteriaceae
Source: Rfam
AGUUAUUCGCGUAGGGUACAGAGGUAAGAUGUUCUAUCUUUCAGACCUUUUACUUCACGUAAUCGGAUUUGGCUGAAUAUUUUAGCCGCCCCAGUCAGUUUCUGACUGGGGCGUUUUUUA